RNAcentral lists this ribosomal RNA (253 nucleotides) under uncultured bacterium. Its description in RNAcentral is "partial 16S ribosomal RNA". It matches the Rfam family "Bacterial small subunit ribosomal RNA", at positions 524 to 776 of the family's 1533-position model. The record is from RNAcentral.
UACGUAGGCAGCAAGCGUUGUUCGGAAUUACUGGGCGUAAAGAGUGUGUAGGCUGUGCUCUAAGUCUGGUGUGAAAUCUCCUGGCUUAACUGGGAGGGUGCGCCGGAAACUGGGGUGCUGGAGUAUGGGAGAGGCAAGCGGAAUUCCUGGUGUAGCGGUGAAAUGCGUAGAUAUCAGGAGGAACACCUGUGGUGUAGACAGCUUGCUGGACCAUUACUGACGCUGAGACACGAAAGCGUGGGUAGCAAACAGG